UACGUAGGGUGCAAGCGUUGUCCGGAAUUAUUGGGCGUAAAGAGCUCGUAGGCGGCUUGUCGCGUCGGCUGUGAAAACCUGGGGCUCAACCCCGGGCCUGCAGCCGAUACGGGCAAGCUAGAAUUCGGUAGGGGAAACUGGAAUUCCUGGUGUAGCGGUGAAAUGCGCAGAUAUCAGGAGGAACACCGGUGGCGAAGGCGGGUCUCUGGGCCGAUACUGACGCUGAGGAGCGAAAGCGUGGGGAGCGAACAGG
RNAcentral lists this ribosomal RNA (253 nucleotides) under uncultured bacterium. RNAcentral's name for it is "partial 16S ribosomal RNA". It matches the Rfam family "Bacterial small subunit ribosomal RNA", at positions 524 to 776 of the family's 1533-position model. The record is from RNAcentral.